RNAcentral lists this non-coding RNA (123 nucleotides) under Paramoeba aestuarina. The record is from RNAcentral. Lineage: Eukaryota; Discosea; Flabellinia; Dactylopodida; Paramoebidae.
GAGAAGGAGAGAAACAAGAACCAGAAAAUGAAAAAAAAGAAAAAAAUAGUUAUGUGUAUGAUCUUAAUUUGAGAGGUCAUGUUGUUCAAUACCUUGGUUCUAUUAGCUUCUCCUCUCCCCUCU